CCUACGGGUGGCAGCAGUGAGGAAUAUUGGUCAAUGGGCGCGAGCCUGAACCAGCCAAGUAGCGUGAAGGAUGACUGCCCUACGGGUUGUAAACUUCUGGUAUAAAGGAAUAAAGUGAGGCACGUGUGCCUUUUUGUAUGUACUUUAUGAAUAAGGAUCGGCUAACUCCGUGCCAGCAGCCGGGGUAAUACGGAGGGUCCGAGCGUUAUGCGGAUUUAUUGGGUUUAAAGGGAGCGUAGCUGGGUUGUUAAGUCAGUUGUGAACGUUUGCGGCUCACCCGUAAAAGUGCAUUUGCUGCUGGCAGCCUUGAGUACAGUUGAGUUAGGCGGCAUUC
RNAcentral lists this ribosomal RNA (334 nucleotides) under uncultured bacterium. RNAcentral's name for it is "partial 16S ribosomal RNA". It matches the Rfam family "Bacterial small subunit ribosomal RNA", at positions 338 to 669 of the family's 1533-position model. The record is from RNAcentral.